GCAAGUCGAGCGGAUUGAUGGGAGCUUGCUCCCAUCAGUCAGCGGCGGACGGGUGAGUAACACGUGGGUAACCUGCCUGUAAGACUGGGAUAACUCCGGGAAACCGGGGCUAAUACCGGAUAACUCAUUUCCUCGCAUGAGGAAAUGUUGAAAGGUGGCUUUUAGCUAUCACUUACAGAUGGACCCGCGGCGCAUUAGCUAGUUGGUGAGGUAACGGCUCACCAAGGCGACGAUGCGUAGCCGACCUGAGAGGGUGAUCGGCCACACUGGGACUGAGACACGGCCCAGACUCCUACGGGAGGCAGCAGUAGGGAAUCUUCCGCAAUGGACGAAAGUCUGACGGAGCAACGCCGCGUGAGUGAUGAAGGUUUUCGGAUCGUAAAACUCUGUUGUUAGGGAAGAACAAGUACCGUUCGAAUAGGGCGGUACCUUGACGGUACCUAACCAGAAAGCCACGGCUAACUACGUGCCAGCAGCCGCGGUAAUACGUAGGUGGCAAGCGUUGUCCGGAAUUAUUGGGCGUAAAGCGCGCGCAGGUGGUUUCUUAAGUCUGAUGUGAAAGCCCACGGCUCAACCGUGGAGGGUCAUUGGAAACUGGGGAACUUGAGUGCAGAAGAGGAAAGUGGAAUUCCAAGUGUAGCGGUGAAAUGCGUAGAUAUUUGGAGGAACACCAGUGGCGAAGGCGACUUUCUGGUCUGUAACUGACACUGAGGCGCGAAAGCG
Molecule: ribosomal RNA, 723 nt
Filed under: Bacillus sp. CH19b
Lineage: Bacteria; Bacillati; Bacillota; Bacilli; Caryophanales; Bacillaceae
Description: bacterial SSU rRNA
Rfam family: Bacterial small subunit ribosomal RNA
Source: RNAcentral